UAACUUCGGGAAACCGGAGCUAAUACCGGAUAAUAUAUUGAACCGCAUGGUUCAAUAGUGAAAGACGGUUUUGCUGUCACUUAUAGAUGGAUCCGCGCGCAUUAGCUAGUUGGUAAGGUAACGGCUUACCAAGGCAACGAUGCGUAGCCGACCUGAGAGGGUGAUCGGCCACACUGGAACUGAGACACGGUCCAG
Molecule: ribosomal RNA, 195 nt
Filed under: uncultured Staphylococcus sp.
Lineage: Bacteria; Bacillati; Bacillota; Bacilli; Caryophanales; Staphylococcaceae
Description: partial 16S ribosomal RNA
Rfam family: Bacterial small subunit ribosomal RNA
Source: RNAcentral